RNAcentral lists this ribosomal RNA (460 nucleotides) under uncultured bacterium. Its description in RNAcentral is "partial 16S ribosomal RNA". It matches the Rfam family "Bacterial small subunit ribosomal RNA", at positions 338 to 795 of the family's 1533-position model. The record is from RNAcentral.
CCUACGGGAGGCAGCAGUGAGGAAUAUUGGUCAAUGGACGAGAGUCUGAACCAGCCAAGUAGCGUGAAGGAUGACUGCCCUCUGGGUUGUAAACUUCUUUUAUAUGGGAAUAAAAUGUUCCACGUGUGGGAUUUUGUAUGUACCAUAUGAAUAAGGAUCGGCUCACUCCGUGCCAGCAGCCGCGGUAAUACGGAGGAUGCGAGCGUUGUCCGGAUUUAUUGGGUUUAAAGGGAGCGUAGGCGGAUUGUUAAGUCAGUUGUGAAAGUUUGUGGCUCAACCGUAAAAUUGCAGUUGAAACUGGCAGUCUUGAGUACAGUAGAGGUGGGCGGAAUUCGUGGUGUAGCGGUGAAAUGCUUAGAUAUCACGAAGAACUCCGAUGGCGAAGGCAGCUAACUGGACUGCAACUGACACUGAGGCUCGAAAGUGUGGGUAGCAAACAGGAUUAGAUACCCUGGUAGUC